RNAcentral lists this ribosomal RNA (480 nucleotides) under uncultured bacterium. RNAcentral describes it as "bacterial SSU rRNA". It matches the Rfam family "Bacterial small subunit ribosomal RNA", at positions 335 to 809 of the family's 1533-position model. The record is from RNAcentral.
ACUCCUACGGGAGGCAGCAGUAGGGAAUCUUCCACAAUGGGCGCAAGCCUGAUGGAGCAACACCGCGUGAGUGAAGAAGGGUUUCGGCUCGUAAAGCUCUGUUGUUAAAGAAGAACACGUAUGAGAGUAACUGUUCAUACGUUGACGGUAUUUAACCAGAAAGUCACGGCUAACUACGUGCCAGCAGCCGCGGUAAUACGUAGGUGGCAAGCGUUAUCCGGAUUUAUUGGGCGUAAAGAGAGUGCAGGCGGUUUUCUAAGUCUGAUGUGAAAGCCUUCGGCUUAACCGGAGAAGUGCAUCGGAAACUGGAUAACUUGAGUGCAGAAGAGGGUAGUGGAACUCCAUGUGUAGCGGUGGAAUGCGUAGAUAUAUGGAAGAACACCAGUGGCGAAGGCGGCUACCUGGUCUGCAACUGACGCUGAGACUCGAAAGCAUGGGUAGCGAACAGGAUUAGAUACCCUGGUAGGAUAGCGUAGUCGU